AUGAAGUAUAUCAUCUUUGCAUCACUUCUCUGUAACUUUUUGAGAGUAAAAUAGAAAGCCUGAGCAGAGACUUCAGAAAUCUGCAAUGCCAAGUUUCUGUGUUAAUCUGGAGAGUGCUUUGGAGAAUAAAUUGAUGCCCUCUUCCCUGUGAAACCCCUUCAAAUAUUGGAAGACUGCUAUCAUAUCUCCCAAACUUUCUCUUCAUUAGACUGCCCAUAUCUAGUUCCCUUAGCUGCUUAUUGUAUGAUUUAGCUUCCAGGCCCCUUAUCAUCUUUGUGGCUGUUCUCUACAUUCUUUCUAGUGCCUCAGCAUCUUUUUUUGUAUCAUUAUUGGAAGAAGGAAACCUCAUCUUGCAGUAGUUCUUUCUUCAGGACAGAUCCCAGACCAUGUUGGUUGGCAGAGAACAUGGAGCAAUAGACUUCAGCUUUAGGAUGGUACUUAGGGCACUACCUUCUCUUGCCUCCUUUUUAAUAUAUGCAAUACAUGAAGCCAGUGGGCAAUAUCAUCUGUUGAUACUGAGUGAAGUAUCUCCAAUACAUUUAUGAUUCA
This is a long non-coding RNA of Ahaetulla prasina, 549 nucleotides long. RefSeq lists it as uncharacterized. The transcript has 2 exons. NCBI's taxonomy places the organism in Eukaryota, Metazoa, Chordata, Lepidosauria, Squamata, Colubridae. The record is from RefSeq and is a predicted model, not a curated record.